Molecule: non-coding RNA, 189 nt
Filed under: Palleronia abyssalis
Lineage: Bacteria; Pseudomonadati; Pseudomonadota; Alphaproteobacteria; Rhodobacterales; Roseobacteraceae
Source: RNAcentral
CCAUGUCUCGCCUGCGUCGGUGCCCGUUGCAACGGGUGAAAAGGGAAUGGGACAUCAAGCCCAGCCGCCCCCGCGACCGUGACCGGAGAGGUCCGCCAACAGCCACUGGCCCGUUCGAACGGGGUGGGAAGGCGGCGGGCCAGACCACCUCCGCAAGCCGGGAGACCUGCCGCCGCGAGAGACAUCGAA